RNAcentral lists this ribosomal RNA (542 nucleotides) under uncultured bacterium. Its description in RNAcentral is "bacterial SSU rRNA". It matches the Rfam family "Bacterial small subunit ribosomal RNA", at positions 336 to 873 of the family's 1533-position model. The record is from RNAcentral.
CUCCUACGGGAGGCAGCAGUGGGGAAUUUUGGACAAUGGGCGCAAGCCUGAUCCAGCCAUGCCGCGUGCAGGAUGAAGGCCUUCGGGUUGUAAACUGCUUUUGUACGGAACGAAAAGACUCUUUCUAAUAAAGAGGGUCCAUGACGGUACCGUAAGAAUAAGCACCGGCUAACUACGUGCCAGCAGCCGCGGUAAUACGUAGGGUGCAAGCGUUAAUCGGAAUUACUGGGCGUAAAGCGUGCGCAGGCGGUUAUGUAAGACAGAUGUGAAAUCCCCGGGCUCAACCUGGGAACUGCAUUUGUGACUGCAUAGCUAGAGUACGGCAGAGGGGAUGGAAUUCCGCGUGUAGCAGUGAAAUGCGUAGAUAUGCGGAGGAACACCGAUGGCGAAGGCAAUCCCCUGGGCCUGUACUGACGCUCAUGCACGAAAGCGUGGGGAGCAAACAGGAUUAGAUACCCUGGUAGUCCACGCCCUAAACGAUGUCAACUGGUUGUUGGGUCUUCACUGACUCAGUAACGAAGCUAACGCGUGAAGUGACCGCC